Triticum aestivum (bread wheat) is the source of this 1008-nucleotide long non-coding RNA. RefSeq lists it as uncharacterized. The transcript has 4 exons. NCBI's taxonomy places the organism in Eukaryota, Viridiplantae, Streptophyta, Magnoliopsida, Poales, Poaceae. The record is from RefSeq and is a predicted model, not a curated record.
UGAGUGUUAAGACUUGAGAGUGGUGGCUCAUUGUUUCUGUAUUCAAAUACUGAUGAAUCGACACUUCCAAAAGAUAUGUCAGUCAAAUUGAUAGGAUAAUGUAUGAUCAUGCUUUGUAUAGAGCUGACCUCACAUGGAACGUCCUAUCCAUCUUAAACUUCACCCAGGCUUGAUACAAUUGACCCUUUAAUUUCCUAGAAAUUCUCAUCUUUGCCUGUGCAAAUAUUAUUUUAUUUGUCAUACUCUUAUACAUUAAAGUUACAUUUUAUCCCACAGACUGAUGGCCAAAGAAGAUUUGGGAAGUUCCACUAUGUUCCUACAGACUGUUGGCCAAAAAAGAUUUGGGGGGAAAUAGCUCUAGAGAAGGAUUGAGAUGAAAAUGGUAGAAUCAUGGUAGAACUGUUUAUAUUGCUGAUUGAGACGGUGAUUGUGAUUUAUUGCUUUUUACUAUUUUUUUAUCUUUUCUACUUUGCUCAGAUAAUUUAUACAGGUUGUUCUUUCUUUAGUACCAAUGAAUAACUUGGUUACACGAUAUACUUGAAGACUGUAGUAGGAACAAAAUGCUUGGCAGACCAAACUAAUUAGCUUUGAAGUUUCCUGGAGACAGACUACUCUUGCAUCAUUAUGUGCAACCCACAGGGAUCUCGCUCGGUGAGACAUGCACACCUAUGCCACAUCUUUACAUGUAAGUUUGUUUUGCUUAGCCAUGGACAGUGAGGUCCCCCUUCUCUGAUUUCUUCAUUCCCAGUUCAUUUAUUUAUUUGAUAUCAAUAUCUUUACUAUAGGAUUUAUGUCCUUGCCAACUCUACAAUUGUUAAUUGCACACUCAGAGUCUGGAUAUUGAAUUAGCUACUUUUGCGAUCCCUGGACUACACGAGUCAAUAGAGCUGAUGUUCAUCAGUAUUUCUGGAUUGCCCAUCUUUCAGUUGAGUUAAGGCUUUUUCUAUUGUCUGCAAAUGAAAAUUAUUUGAUGUACCCCUGCUCAGUUUUCACAUCCUUCCCAGGUUU